This 476-nucleotide ribosomal RNA is filed under the name uncultured bacterium. Its description in RNAcentral is "bacterial SSU rRNA". It matches the Rfam family "Bacterial small subunit ribosomal RNA", at positions 28 to 521 of the family's 1533-position model. The record is from RNAcentral.
GACGAACGCUGGCGGCGUGCCUAACACAUGCAAGUCGAACGAGGUCCAUCCUUCGGGAGAAGACCUAGUGGCGAACGGGUGAGUAACACGUGAAGAACCUGCCCCGAAGACCGGGAUAACCCUCCGAAAGGAGAGCUAAUACCGGAUACCCCCACCGAACCGCAUGGUUUGGUGAGGAAAUGGAUUCCGCUUCGGGAGGGCUUCGCGGCCUAUCAGCUAGUUGGUGGGGUAACGGCCCACAAGGCAUCGACGGGUAGCUGGUCUGAGAGGACGAUCAGCCACACUGGGACUGAGACACGGCCCAGACUCCUACGGGAGGCAGCAGUGGGGAAUCUUGCGCAAUGGGCGAAAGCCUGACGCAGCAACGCCGCGUGGGGGAUGAAGGCUCUCGGGUUGUAAACCCCUUUCAGCAGGGACGAAUCAAGACGGUACCUGCAGAAGAAGCCCCCGGCUAACUACGUGCCAGCAGCCGCGGU